Molecule: transfer RNA, 77 nt
Filed under: Sulfuricella denitrificans skB26
Lineage: Bacteria; Pseudomonadati; Pseudomonadota; Betaproteobacteria; Nitrosomonadales; Sulfuricellaceae
Also listed under: 4 other names
Description: tRNA-Met (CAT) (tRNA-Met-CAT-1-1)
Rfam family: tRNA
About the family: Transfer RNA (tRNA) molecules are approximately 80 nucleotides in length.
Source: RNAcentral
GGUGAUAUAGCUCAGUCGGUUAGAGCACAGCACUCAUAACGCUGGGGUCGGUGGUUCAAAUCCACCUAUCACCACCA